This 253-nucleotide ribosomal RNA is filed under the name uncultured bacterium. Its description in RNAcentral is "partial 16S ribosomal RNA". It matches the Rfam family "Bacterial small subunit ribosomal RNA", at positions 524 to 776 of the family's 1533-position model. The record is from RNAcentral.
GACGUAGGGGACGAGCGUUGUCCGGAUUUACUGGGCGUAAAGAGCGUGUAGGCGGCCAGGCCGGUCUGUUGUGAAAACUGGAGGCUCAACCUCCAGACGUCGACAGAAACCGCUUGGCUAGAGUCCGGAAGAGGAGAGUGGAAUUCCUGGUGUAGCGGUGAAAUGCGCAGAUAUCAGGAAGAACACCGAUGGCGAAGGCAGCUCUCUGGGACGGUACUGACGCUGAGACGCGAAAGCGUGGGGAGCGAACAGG